UAAAUUUUCUUAAAAACAAAUUAAUGUUUCUUUGUGCUGCAAGUAUCUGUGUGUCUUAUUUUAAAAACUUUCCUGAAAGUUUGUCUUCCCCACUACUUACUGAUCCAAAGCUUCUGCUUCUUUUCAUCAAAUUUCUUAACCUUUCUCAUCCCAUAACUAUUUGUGGCAGAUCACCUUUUCCUUCAAAACCUAAAAAAUUAAAAAACAGUAGAAAGCCUUCCAAGUUUGUAUAGAUCUCUUAGGAUGUCUAAACCUGAUUGCCUACCUUGAUUUCUUGCUACACUGAAUGACAGGGAAGUAAAUGCGUGCUUAGAUCACCCAGACCAGCAACUGGGAAUAAGAUGCUUUCUUUGCAAGCUUGUGGGUCCAGGCCCAAGGUCCUUGGCAGCCUGAGCUUGCCAAUCCAAUAUCUGGGUUUCAAGCACUCCAUGUCAUUAUCCAGAGGUGUCUGCUUCGGCACAUGAAGCUGAAAACCCUGGAAACACCAGAGAAUGCUGCUAGAGGUAAUGCUAACAAAAAGUCAAAGGCUGGUGGUGGUAGGAAGAGGAAGUAAUUUGAAUUGGCAUUUCAAUCUUGAAAUAGACUGAUGUAGCAAACUGAAUUCGGAUUAGAUUAGAAUUUUGAAAUCAGUGAAGUAUCCUUCCGUUCCAUUGUAUGUUUGUUUAUUUACUAUUUUUUCCAAUAUCACUAUCUUUACAACUAAUGAUUGCAUCGUAAUGGUAUGGCUAGAA
This is a long non-coding RNA of Quercus lobata, 731 nucleotides long. RefSeq lists it as uncharacterized. The transcript has 2 exons. The record is from RefSeq and is a predicted model, not a curated record. Lineage: Eukaryota; Viridiplantae; Streptophyta; Magnoliopsida; Fagales; Fagaceae.